RNAcentral lists this ribosomal RNA (492 nucleotides) under uncultured bacterium. Its description in RNAcentral is "partial 16S ribosomal RNA". It matches the Rfam family "Bacterial small subunit ribosomal RNA", at positions 29 to 507 of the family's 1533-position model. The record is from RNAcentral.
AGUGAACGCUGGCGGUAGGCCUAACACAUGCAAGUCGAACGGCAGCACAGUAAGAGCUUGCUCUUACGGGUGGCGAGUGGCGGACGGGUGAGGAAUACAUCGGAAUCUACUUUUUCGUGGGGGAUAACGUAGGGAAACUUACGCUAAUACCGCAUACGACCUACGGGUGAAAGCAGGGGAUCUUCAGACCUUGCGCGAUUGAAUGAGCCGAUGUCGGAUUAGCUAGUUGGCGGGGUAAAGGCCCACCAAGGCGACGAUCCGUAGCUGGUCUGAGAGGAUGAUCAGCCACACUGGAACUGAGACACGGUCCAGACUCCUACGGGAGGCAGCAGUGGGGAAUGUUGGACAAUGGGCGCAAGCCUGAUCCAGCCAUACCGCGUGGGUGAAGAAGGCCUUCGGGUUGUAAAGCCCUUUUGUUGGGAAAGAAAAGCAGCAGGUUAAUACCCCGCUGUUCUGACGGUACCCAAAGAAUAAGCACCGGCUAACUUCGUG